UGGUGGAGUGAUUUGUCUGGUUAAUUCCGAUAACGAACGAGACUCUGUCCUGCUAACUAGGUUGUGUUUUCUCGGGGUUGGUGUUCUGGUGUUCCUUCUCGGGGCGCCGGCCCAAUCCACUUGUGAACACAACACUCUUCUUAGAGGGACUGGCGGCUGUUAGCCGCACGAGAUAGAGCAAUAACA
RNAcentral lists this ribosomal RNA (186 nucleotides) under uncultured eukaryote. Its description in RNAcentral is "partial 18S ribosomal RNA". It matches the Rfam family "Eukaryotic small subunit ribosomal RNA", at positions 1299 to 1458 of the family's 1831-position model. The record is from RNAcentral.